GAUGAACGCUAGCUACAGGCUUAACACAUGCAAGUCGAGGGGCAGCGCAGUGUAGCAAUACAUGGGCGGCGACCGGCGCACGGGUGCGUAACGCGUAUCCAACCUUCCCGUUACUCUGGGAUAGCCUUCCGAAAGGGAGAUUAAUACCGGAUGGUGUUUGAAUUCCGCAUGUUAUUCAAACUAAAGAUUUAUCGGUAACGGAUAGGGAUGCGUGACAUUAGGUAGAUGGCGGGGUAACGGCCCACCAUGCCUACGAUGUCUAGGGGUUCUGAGAGGAAGGUCCCCCACACUGGAACUGAGACACGGUCCAG
This 311-nucleotide ribosomal RNA is filed under the name uncultured bacterium. RNAcentral's name for it is "bacterial SSU rRNA". It matches the Rfam family "Bacterial small subunit ribosomal RNA", at positions 28 to 334 of the family's 1533-position model. The record is from RNAcentral.